This is a long non-coding RNA of Rosa chinensis, 1994 nucleotides long. RefSeq lists it as uncharacterized. NCBI's taxonomy places the organism in Eukaryota, Viridiplantae, Streptophyta, Magnoliopsida, Rosales, Rosaceae. The record is from RefSeq and is a predicted model, not a curated record. The transcript has 3 exons.
UAUCUUAACAAAAUCAUGAUAUUUCAUUUCUAGUAUAAGUAUUUUGCUGGGAACAAAAGCAAAGAAAGAUAGGUAUUUGUCUGGGUUAAUUACAGCAGUCAUGAAUUGAAAGAUAAUAUAUGUUUCAAGAUUCCUUCUGUUUUAAAUGAUUUAUUAUAUUUAUUGAAGAGUCUAUCUGAAAUCAUCCUCAAGAACUUAAAUCUCUCUCUCUCUCUCUCUCUCUCUCUCUCUAUUGUAUCAAUUGGCACAUGGAAAUCAGAGGGCUGGUUGGUUCAAUAAAAAUCUAAACUCCUCAACACAUUAUAAACAGUGGCUGCAAAAAUCAUUUAGUUGUCUGUAUUUAUGUGUAGGCCUCAUUGCUAAGUUGUAUGGCUGCUGGAUUUCAGGAUAUUGGCUAAUUCCAAGCCCUGCCCCAAGUGCAAACGACCCAUUGAGAAAAACCAAGGCUGUAUGCAUAUCACUUGCACACCACCUUGUAAAUUUGAGUUUUGCUGGCUCUGUCUUGGUGCAUGGUCAGAAUGGUGAAAGGACAGGUGGCUUUUAUGCCUGUAACCACUAUGAGACAGCGAAGCAGGAGGGAGUGUAUGAUGAGGCAGAGAAACGAAGAGAGAUGACCAAGAACUCUCUAGAGAGGUACACCCAUUAUUACGAAAGAUGGGCAACUAAUCAGUCGGUACAUACAAGUUUAAUAGUUUAUUUAAAGUUGGUUAACUUAAACAUAAGUUACCUGGUUUCUGUUGGCCUGAUUUAUUUGUGAUUUGCAUCACUCCUUGAGUCCUUGCCCUUGUUAAUUAAUAUUUAUAGUCAGUGUAUGCCACCUUGUCCCCCCAAUGAAUGUGCCGACUUCCUAGUAGUUUUGAUACUUCUGAAAUAAUUUAAGUUAAGGCAAGGCCUAAAUUACUUUUUCUUCCUUCUUGAUCUGUAACUGCAAUGAGUUUCAGGUUAAGAGUACGUAUUUGAGAAAAGUUGUAAUUUGUUAUCAGCAUUUAGGACCCUCUUUGUCCUGUGUUUGUGUCUGUGUUUGUGUUUGUGUUUAUCUGGCCUGCAGUUUUGAAUAUAUGACCUUGCGUUUGUGUUUGUGUUUGCUUCACUGGAAGGCAGCUUUAUUCCAAGUUUUUGGCCAUUAGGGUGCUUUUUCUGCAGUUAUCUAUUUGCAUCGAGUACAGUUUUUUGGUUUUACGCUGUUUGCUUCUCUCUGCUGGGACUUGAGGCUAUUAGGUGUGUCUUGCAUUUUGAUUUUUCAAUGCUUGGGGUUGAUAUCCAGAGUUGGUCAAUGUUAAUCUAGCAAGUUGUUAGACAUCAGUUUAUGUUCAUAUUCUAUAUAACUUGAUGCUUUACAACAUGUGUGGAAUGAUGCAUUUUAAUUCAGAUACAAAUAUAUAGUAGGAGUUGUAAACUAUUUUCCGAGUUGCAGCAGCAAGGAAUUUCUUAUAAAGCUACCGGUUUGUUUCUUAGACCAGAGGGCCAUCAUUAUUCAUUUCAUUAGUGUUGUGAUGGUCCCAGAAAUGUUACUGUAAUCGUUGACAUAUAUUUUUAUAAACUGAGAUGAGAGGGAAAAAAAAAACCAAGGAAAUUAGGCCAAUAUUUAUGGAUGAGCAAGACCGCUCUUUUUGUGUUUUCUGAUACUUUUCACGGUAUCUCUGAACAGCAACUGCAUGUGACAAAAUCAAAUGAUGAGCAGCAAUGUAAGGCUCAGUUUGUGAAAUCCCAGCUGUGCAAUUUCCGUAAGCUUUGGAGCAUCGUGCCAGAGAAUUCAUCCCAUUGUCAUAGCCAAGAGCGACCACCACUCUAGGCUCAUUGAAUGUCAUCCGGUUCUUCACUUUCCCAGUACCAUCGAUAGACAUCAAAAUUUAGGUUUUUUCAUGAUAUCAAUGUCUUAUUUGUAACGGUGAUAUUUGUCCACUGUAACAUCUGCUGUAUCAUUAUUUGCAAUGUUAUGAUAACAUUAAGACAUUAUUGUUGUGUAGUAUGUGACGGGAUGAUCUAUUAUCGUG